This 754-nucleotide unclassified non-coding RNA is filed under the name Hevea brasiliensis (rubber tree). Lineage: Eukaryota; Viridiplantae; Streptophyta; Magnoliopsida; Malpighiales; Euphorbiaceae. The record is from RNAcentral.
AUAGUCAUUUCCAAAGACUGUCAGAUGAGGACGCCUUCCAACAGCAACUUGCUGCACGUAUGGCAUUAGGUUGUUUGGAAUUCCACGGGGAUCCUCACCAAUAAGGCCACUAGGAUGUGCACCAACAGGAUUGAAGUAUCUUAGCAAUAUGAUCUUCCAUUCAGAAUCUGAACGGUAGAUAUCACCGCAAAUCUCUUCGAUGAAAAGCUUGGUUCUACCAUAUGGGUUCAUUGCAAAUAGAGGGAAUUCUUCAGUACAUGGAACCUCCUUUGGCCAACCAUAAACAGUAGCAGACGAGGAAAACACAAGCUUCUUGCAUCCGUGGGCAGUCAUUACUUCCAGCAAUGUAAUUGUUCCAAUAAGAUUGUUGUCAAAAUAAAGCAAUGGUUUCUCCACACUCUCACCAACUGCCUUGAGCCCAGCAAAGUGGAUAACAGCAUCAAAUUUUGUCUGGGAGAAAACUUUUUCCAGAGCUGGCUUGUUCCGGAGGUCAACCUGGUGAAAGGAGAGGUUCUUGCCGCGUUCGCCGGCGAUUUCCUUGACUCUUUCGAGAGCAACAGCGGAGGAAUUAUCGAGAUUAUCGACAACGACAACUGAGUAACCGCCUAAAAGGAGUUGAAGCACCGUGUGACUCCCAAUGUAACCAGUACCACCGGUGACCAGGAUAUUCCUCGCCAUGACGGAAACCUCAAACAGAGAGAGAUAGAGAGAGAAGCGAGAGCAGUUAACUUUCUUGUGGAGGGACUUAACAGAG